Molecule: long non-coding RNA, 568 nt
Organism: Salvia splendens (bonfire salvia)
Lineage: Eukaryota; Viridiplantae; Streptophyta; Magnoliopsida; Lamiales; Lamiaceae
Exons: 6
Source: RefSeq, a predicted model, not a curated record
GUAAUUCUUAACCUAAUCUCGAUGAACAUGAUCAAUCUCGACGAAGGGGAGUUGUUGCAGGGCUCGAACCUGUGAACUUCAUUACCUUUGCAAUGCCUCAUCUUGGUUCGAGGGGGCAUAAACAGGUUCCUGUUUUCUGUGGUGUCUACACCAUGGAGAGACUAGCAACCCGUGCUUCGUUUCUACUUGGUAGAACGGAUCCGCGUUGGCGUUGCAGUCAUUUAAGAGGCGUGCAGCCUAUGCAAAUGCACGUUUUGACAAUAUUGUGGGGUGGAGUUCAUCAUCACUGCGUCGUCUGAGUGAGCUCCCAAAGUGCCGGAGUCUUGAGAGAAACGCUAAAUACCCCCAUAUCGUCAACGAGGAGAAAGCAAACUUCGUCAUCAGCCCUCAAGGAGAAGUUCCACUGGAAAUCAAAGCUGCUAGAGGCAGGACAAAGGAUAUGGAAGAGACGAUGAUCAGAGGGCUGACUAGGCUGAACUGGGAACGAGUCGAUGUCAGCUUCACCGGAAGUAUGCAAUGGCUUCUUGCACACAGCACAAUUCAGGCAAGCUUAUUGAGGCCUUCUAAG